This 534-nucleotide unclassified non-coding RNA is filed under the name uncultured Microcystis sp. RNAcentral's name for it is "partial contains 16S ribosomal RNA and 16S-23S ribosomal RNA intergenic spacer". The stretch from base 1 to 120 matches the Rfam family "Bacterial small subunit ribosomal RNA", at positions 1414 to 1533 of the family's 1533-position model. The record is from RNAcentral. Lineage: Bacteria; Bacillati; Cyanobacteriota; Cyanophyceae; Chroococcales; Microcystaceae.
GCCACGCCCGAAGUCGUUACCUCAACCGCAAGGAGGGGGAUGCCUAAGGCAGGGCUAGUGACUGGGGUGAAGUCGCAACAAGGUAGCCGUACCGGAAGGUGUGGCUGGAUCACCUCCUUAAAGGGAGACCUAAUUCAGGUAGGAGACGAAAAAAAGUAGUCCCUACCAAGAAUCAAUCCCAAAAGGUCGGAGCGAGGCAAAAUUGGCUUUCAAACUAGGUUCUGGGUUCACAUAAGACCUGAAUCAGGAACAAGGGCUAUUAGCUCAGGUGGUUAGAGCGCACCCCUGAUAAGGGUGAGGUCCCUGGUUCGAGUCCAGGAUGGCCCACCUGCACAGGUGGCAAAAACAAAGAAAAGAAGCUCCGAAUCAGCACCUUAUCUUACUCAUAUAGUAAGAGAGAAUGCUGGCUCUGAGUUCAGAGUCCAGAGGAACCUUGAAAACUGCAUAGAGCUAGGUGAAAAAGCCAAAAAAGAAGACCGCAAGGUCAAGCUAAUAAGGGCUAACGGUGGAUACCUAGGCACACAGAGGAAGGGC